ACUGCACAGCUGGUAUCACGCACUGAUCAGUCACUGGCUGGGCACUGCUGGGGAAGAGUGUUGCCUCAGCUCAAAAGCAGAAUCGGAUCCUGAAGGACCUAAUGACUAGAAACUUCCAGCUGACUACACUCUGCAACUGACUGAUUUGAACGUCUAUAGAAUAUUACAUCUCUUUGACCUGAAGGACUUGCUUUAGCAUUUCUUGUACUACAAGUCUGAUGGAGAGAAUCAAAGAAAAAGAUUAAGAAGCCCUUGGAUCAGAAGAGACUACAUACAUAUGACAACUAAAUGCAAUAUGCAAUUCUGCAUUGAAUUGGAUCCCGUUGAGGAAGAGGACAUCAGUGAAAUAAUAGAUGGCACAUUGCAUAAAGAAACGCGAACCCAGCAGCACUCCUGCCAGCGGCAAUUCUGAGUGCUCAUUUCCACUUUGCCAAGACAUUACAUGGGAAGGCAUGUGCGUUUAAGGGCAUCCAAUUGUUUCUGUAUCAGAACAGCAGCAACAUCCCGGGCAGGCCUUUCCUCUGGAGUUCACGUGUAGGUCGUACUGACACACAACAUGGCCUAAAUGGACCAUGGAGGAGGAAGGGACCCCAAAUCCAGGCCAAAUGGGAGCAGGGUUGUCCUCAGGAGGACCCCAGCUAGAAGACUUUCUCUGGAACCCACGGUGCCUCUCACUAAAGUGCCCCAACGUUGGCACAACACCUACCGAAUUGUUGUUGCUGACUCUCUAUGCCCAUGAUUCAACCAGAACAACAUUGAUUCGUUAAAAGGUGCAUGAAUAAACUUGACUCUGGAAACAACAACA
Molecule: long non-coding RNA, 805 nt
Filed under: Homo sapiens (human)
Lineage: Eukaryota; Metazoa; Chordata; Mammalia; Primates; Hominidae
Description: non-protein coding lnc-ST3GAL1-8:4
Source: RNAcentral